GUCUACGGCCAUACCACCCUGAACGCGCCAGAUCUCGUCUGACCUCGGAAGCUAAGCAGGGUCGGGCCUGGUUAGUACUUGGAUGGGAAACAAUAUUUGCUCAAGUUAGCAGGGAUUAGAAUAGAGGCACAGUGAGCA
Molecule: ribosomal RNA, 138 nt
Organism: Ochotona princeps (American pika)
Lineage: Eukaryota; Metazoa; Chordata; Mammalia; Lagomorpha; Ochotonidae
Source: Ensembl